UCGAGAAUCUUCCGCAAUGGGCGAAAGCCUGACGGAGCGACACCGCGUGUAGGAUGACGGCCCUCGGGUUGUAAACUACUGUCACGCUAUAGGAACCCCCUGUGUAAUGAGCAGGGCUGACCAAAGCGAGAGGAAGCACCGGCUAACUCCGUGCCAGCAGCCGCGGUAAGACGGAGGGUGCAAACGUUGUUCGGAAUUACUGGGCAUAAAGCGCACGUAGGCGGCCAAGUCAGUUCGGUGUGAAAGCCCCCGGCUCAACCGGGGAACGGCAUCGAAUACUGCUUGGCUUGAGGAUGGUUGGGGUGAGUGGAACUCCUGGUGGAGCGGUGAAAUGCGUAGAUAUCAGGAGGAACACCAGUGGCGAAAGCGGCUCACUGGACCAUAUCUGACGCUGAGGUGCGAAAGCUAGGGUAGCGAACGGG
This 422-nucleotide ribosomal RNA is filed under the name uncultured bacterium. RNAcentral describes it as "bacterial SSU rRNA". It matches the Rfam family "Bacterial small subunit ribosomal RNA", at positions 355 to 776 of the family's 1533-position model. The record is from RNAcentral.